RNAcentral lists this long non-coding RNA (588 nucleotides) under Equus caballus (horse). RNAcentral describes it as "lncRNA (ENSECAG00000050170.1)". Lineage: Eukaryota; Metazoa; Chordata; Mammalia; Perissodactyla; Equidae. The record is from RNAcentral.
CCCAUAGUGGCUGUAGGGAGGGCAGGCCAGCUCUGGAGGAAGACAGAUGGGGGUUGAUAAUUAUUCAAGCAUUACUAUUCUGGAACAUUUCCAACCAGGAAAGAACCAAGGGAGCAGAGGGAGGAUUGAGGGGGCCAAGGAAAGGUCACAAUGGCAAAGGCGAGAAGGGAGAGGCAUCAACGGGAGAUAAGGAAACUGAGGCCCAGAGAGGUUAAGCGACUUGCCCAAGGUCACAUACCGACCGAGUGAUGGAGUUGGGAUUUCGAACAGGCGAUCGGGCUCCCUGAGCCCACACUCCCGCUCGGCAAGCUCAUCGGGGAGAGCGGUGCCCACCCCGGCGGCAGACCGCCCCCCACUGGCCGAGCUCCGCGCCCACUUGAGCCACCCGCCCGCCCGGCCCCCUGGAGUUGGGUUUUGAGCCCUGAAGGAGCAGCAGGAAAUGGCCGGGAGGGUGAGGGAAUGGCACGCACCUCAGGACUCCGAGGCGUGACCAGAGGUGCCUGCCUCCUGUCUUCAGGGGUCAGACCCCACUGCUCUCCUGCCUCCUUGCCUGCUUUAUUUUUCUCCAGAACAAACUGUGUACCUUCC